AUUCAUAUAGUUUAUGUAAAACAUUUUACUUUCAUUAAAAAAAAAUAAUCAAAAUUAUGAAUA
This 63-nucleotide transfer RNA is filed under the name Trocnadella arisana. RNAcentral's name for it is "tRNA-Glu". The record is from RNAcentral. Lineage: Eukaryota; Metazoa; Arthropoda; Insecta; Hemiptera; Cicadellidae.